Molecule: ribosomal RNA, 469 nt
Filed under: Escherichia coli
Lineage: Bacteria; Pseudomonadati; Pseudomonadota; Gammaproteobacteria; Enterobacterales; Enterobacteriaceae
Description: partial 23S ribosomal RNA
Rfam family: Bacterial large subunit ribosomal RNA
Source: RNAcentral
GGAAAGGCGCGCGAUACAGGGUGACAGCCCCGUACACAAAAAUGCACAUGCUGUGAGCUCGAUGAGUAGGGCGGGACACGUGGUAUCCUGUCUGAAUAUGGGGGGACCAUCCUCCAAGGCUAAAUACUCCUGACUGACCGAUAGUGAACCAGUACCGUGAGGGAAAGGCGAAAAGAACCCCGGCGAGGGGAGUGAAAAAGAACCUGAAACCGUGUACGUACAAGCAGUGGGAGCACAGAGCAAUCUGUGUGACUGCGUACCUUUUGUAUAAUGGGUCAGCGACUUAUAUUCUGUAGCAAGGUUAACCGAAUAGGGGAGCCGAAGGGAAACCGAGUCUUAACUGGGCGUUAAGUUGCAGGGUAUAGACCCGAAACCCGGUGAUCUAGCCAUGGGCAGGUUGAAGGUUGGGUAACACUAACUGGAGGACCGAACCGACUAAUGUUGAAAAAUUAGCGGAUGACUUGUGGCU